Molecule: RNA transcript, 603 nt
Organism: Zingiber officinale
Lineage: Eukaryota; Viridiplantae; Streptophyta; Magnoliopsida; Zingiberales; Zingiberaceae
Gene name: dynein light chain 1, cytoplasmic-like
Exons: 3
Source: RefSeq, a predicted model, not a curated record
UCCGUCGGAGAAGUAGAGGAGGAGCGAUCGAGGAAAUGGCAGAGCAGAGCAAGGGCAGUUUCGGUGGCGCGGCGCAGGCGACGCCGACUCCCGGGAUCGUCGUCAAGCGGAUCGACGUGGGUGAGAAGAUGCGCGGCGACGCCAUUCCUCCCCCGAUCUCGUGCCUUAUUUUUCGUUGGUCUCGAGUCGGCGACGGAUUUGAGAAGCACACAGUGGCAAAGGAAGUAGCCGAGUUCAUCAAGAAGGAAUUUGAUAAGAAGCACGGGCAAAGUUUGACACUGCAUUGUUGGUCGUGACUUCGCACAUACAUGCUGACCCUGCAUGCCUCAGCAAGCUGCUCUGCAUAUCAGGUCCUGCUAUCCGUUUGUAUGCAUCAUAUUUAGGACUGUUCAUGGGCUGAGUUGUGUUGGGAUUUGGUUCAAAUCUGACCUAACCAUAAAUAGUCAAAUCGCUACCAAGGAAAUAGGCAGAGUCGUGGUCCGGUGCUUUUAUGAUUUGUCAGAGAACUGAUGAGCUGAGUUGUUUGUUUGACAAUGAUGUUGAUUUCAGGCAGCUGAUUGUCACUUGUAAAAUCAUUGGUAACCUUGCCGCCAAGUUUCAUCU